This 222-nucleotide long non-coding RNA is filed under the name Gallus gallus (chicken). Lineage: Eukaryota; Metazoa; Chordata; Aves; Galliformes; Phasianidae. The record is from RNAcentral.
ACAAGAGCAGCAGCGUGGGCAGGCGAGGCAUCUGGCACAGCUUGGCCAGCGCUCAGGCACUGCACAGAGCCGGCCAAGUGCAGCACAGAGCUGCAGAACAAACAUAGACCACAUCUGCAGGAUUUGGUCCCACAGAACGUGGACAUAACUACUGAAUUGUCCUAUACUAGAAUAUUUUAAGGCCUCGCAAAGAAGGCCGUAAGCUGCUAAGUAUACACUGAA